CCCAGAUACAAUCUUGUACAACAACAUUAUCCAAUGGGUGUUGGCUGAGCUUCCUCAGGUACUUUGUCACAGCACCAGUCAAUACACAGCCAUUCCGCCUAAGAGAAGGUUAAGAAGAUAAUUGGCAAUGCCGUCAGGAGGUUUGGCUGUCUUCUGAAAUUCCCUGGGCCAGUGAUGGGUGACAAUAACCACCCAGUUGCACAAACUUCAAAUCCAGGUUUCUGUUAAAGUGCAUUCUUGAUGAAGUUGCUGAAGUGUUCAAUUAACCAUUCCUCAGACUACAAUACAUCUGAACUUCCAGGAAUAUGACUUACUAAAAAAAAAGUGGAAAGCUUUUCAGAUCGAUGUCAUACAUUUAAUUAUCUCAUAUCCUGAUCAAGAACUUCCCUUACAAGUGUAGGAGACUGUUGAGGCUCACAUUGUGCUUGCUGAACAAUCAUACGUGGUGUGCAAAGCAGAGAGAGAUUAAGCGACAUACCCUCUUGAUGUACUGUACCACCUCCUGGAUGUAUGACCGGAUCAUCUCUGUCUUUUCCCUAAGAGCAAAUGACAACUAGAUCAUUAUAUGAACUCAUCCAGCAUCAACAAAGAGAACCUAUGGAAACUUUUGCGAUUACUCAGACAGCGGUAGUAAUUGGACUCAACCCUUCUUACUGGAGCACCACGUAGACAGCGUGGGCUUCCUAUGAAAGACCCCACUGCUGUUCACCCGUGAUGGAGGCUCUCAAAUACAACUGGAAACUUAGGAAACACAGAGAAGAAAAAAAUCUAGCUGUACUCCAAAUCUAGAGAUGAACCACUGCCAACUGUCAAGUCUGGAAAUACAGCUUUCUAACAGAAUGGAAAUGAGCUUUAACUGUGCUACUUACCCACAGUUUGAAAAUUAAGUGCAACCAUUUGGCAACCAGCAUUCCAGAAGAGCUGAGGCAUGUAGUUGGAUGAAUCCACACGGGUUCCUUUUGGAUAUAUCCUGCUGAGCUGCAUUUUGUUAUAUCUGGACCAUCAUGUUAAGUAGUGAAUACAAUUAUAAAAAUAAUUAGCCCAUACCAUUAA
Neofelis nebulosa (Clouded leopard) is the source of this 1053-nucleotide long non-coding RNA. RefSeq lists it as uncharacterized. Lineage: Eukaryota; Metazoa; Chordata; Mammalia; Carnivora; Felidae. The transcript has 9 exons. The record is from RefSeq and is a predicted model, not a curated record.